Molecule: non-coding RNA, 85 nt
Organism: Felis catus (domestic cat)
Lineage: Eukaryota; Metazoa; Chordata; Mammalia; Carnivora; Felidae
Source: Rfam
GCCUGGGUGGCUCAGUUGGUGGAGUGUCCGACUUGGGCUCAGGUCAUGAUCUCGCGGUUCGUGGGUUCGAGCCCCGUGUCGGGCU